UGCCAGCAGCCGCGGUAAUACGUAAGUGGCACACGAUGUCCGGAUUCACUGGGUGUAAAGCGCAUGUAGGCGGCUCUCUAAGUCUGAGGCGAAAUCUCUGGGCUCAACCCAGAAACGGCCUUGGAAACUGGCGAGCUUGAGGGUCAGAGGGGAAAGUGGAAUUUCGGGUGUAGCGGUGAAAUGCAUAGAUAUCCGAGAGGACACCGAUGGCGAAGGCAGCUUUCUGGCUGACUCCUGACGCUGAGAUGCGAAAGCUAGGGUAGCGCACGGGAUUAGAUA
This 279-nucleotide ribosomal RNA is filed under the name uncultured bacterium. RNAcentral's name for it is "partial 16S ribosomal RNA". It matches the Rfam family "Bacterial small subunit ribosomal RNA", at positions 506 to 784 of the family's 1533-position model. The record is from RNAcentral.